UACGUAGGUCCCGAGCGUUGUCCGGAUUUAUUGGGCGUAAAGCGAGCGCAGGUGGUUUAUUAAGUCUGGUGUAAAAGGCAGUGGCUCAACCAUUGUAUGCAUUGGAAACUGGUAGACUUGAGUGCAGGAGAAGAGAGUGGAAUCCCAUGUGUAGCGGUGAAAUGCGUAGAUAUUAGGAGGAACACCAGUGGCGAAGGCGGCCUGCUGGACGGUAACUGACGCUGAGGCUCGAAAGCGUGGGGAGCAAACAGG
This 252-nucleotide ribosomal RNA is filed under the name uncultured bacterium. Its description in RNAcentral is "partial 16S ribosomal RNA". It matches the Rfam family "Bacterial small subunit ribosomal RNA", at positions 524 to 776 of the family's 1533-position model. The record is from RNAcentral.